Gossypium arboreum is the source of this 107-nucleotide non-coding RNA. The record is from Rfam. NCBI's taxonomy places the organism in Eukaryota, Viridiplantae, Streptophyta, Magnoliopsida, Malvales, Malvaceae.
ACUUGGUGGUGAGAACAUUUCUUUUGCAUGUCCUUAAACUGUUCUCAUGCCUCAUGUGAAGUUUCCUCUUUAUAUUGCUGGAAACUAGUAAUGCCAUUCCGCAAUUU